AGUGGCGGACGGGUGAGUAACACGUGGGUAACCUGCCCUAAAGUGGGGGAUAACAUUUGGAAACAGAUGCUAAUACCGCAUAAAACCUAACACCGCAUGGUGUAGGGUUGAAAGAUGGUUUCGGCUAUCACUUUAGGAUGGACCCGCGGUGCAUUAGUUAGUUGGUGAGGUAAAGGCUCACCAAGACCGUGAUGCAUAGCCGACCUGAGAGGGUAAUCGGCCACACUGGGACUGAGACACGGCCCAGACUCCUACGGGAGGCAGCAGUAGGGAAUCUUCCACAAUGGACGAAAGUCUGAUGGAGCAACGCCGCGUGAGUGAAGAAGGUUUUCGGAUCGUAAAACUCUGUUGUUGGAGAAGAAUGUAUCUGAUAGUAACUGAUCAGGUAGUGACGGUAUCCAACCAGAAAGCCACGGCUAACUACGUGCCAGCAGCCGCGGUAAUACGUAGGUGGCAAGCGUUGUCCGGAUUUAUUGGGCGUAAAGCGAGCGCAGGCGGUUUCUUAAGUCUGAUGUGAAAGCCUUCGGCUCAACCGAAGAAGUGCAUCGGAAACUGGGAAACUUGAGUGCAGAAGAGGACAGUGGAACUCCAUGUGUAGCGGUGAAAUGCGUAGAUAUAUGGAAGAACACCAGUGGCGAAGGCGGCUGUCUGGUCUGUAACUGACGCUGAGGCUCGAAAGCAUGGGUAGCAAACAGGAUUAGAUACCCUGGUAGUCCAUGCCGUAAACGAUGAGUGCUAGGUGUUGGAGGGUUUCCGCCCUUCAGUGCCGCAGCUAACGCAUUAAGCACUCCGCCUGGGGAGUACGACCGCAAGGUUGAAACUCAAAGGAAUUGACGGGGGCCCGCACAAGCGGUGGAGCAUGUGGUUUAAUUCGAAGCAACGCGAAGAACCUUACCAGGUCUUGACAUCCUUUGACCACUCUAGAGAUAGAGCUUUCCCUUCGGGGACAAAGUGACAGGUGGUGCAUGGUUGUCGUCAGCUCGUGUCGUGAGAUGUUGGGUUAAGUCCCGCAACGAGCGCAACCCUUAUUACUAGUUGCCAGCAUUUAGUUGGGCACUCUAGUGAGACUGCCGGUGACAAACCGGAGGAAGGUGGGGACGACGUCAAAUCAUCAUGCCCCUUAUGACCUGGGCUACACACGUGCUACAAUGGAUGGUACAACGAGUUGCGAGACCGCGAGGUUUAGCUAAUCUCUUAAAACCAUUCUCAGUUCGGAUUGUAGGCUGCAACUCGCCUACAUGAAGCCGGAAUCGCUAGUAAUCGCGGAUCAGCAUGCCGCGGUGAAUACGUUCCCGGGCCUUGUACACACCGCCCGUCACACCAUGAGAGUUUGUAACACCCAAAGCCGGUGA
RNAcentral lists this ribosomal RNA (1352 nucleotides) under Latilactobacillus sakei. RNAcentral's name for it is "bacterial SSU rRNA". It matches the Rfam family "Bacterial small subunit ribosomal RNA", at positions 94 to 1433 of the family's 1533-position model. The record is from RNAcentral. Lineage: Bacteria; Bacillati; Bacillota; Bacilli; Lactobacillales; Lactobacillaceae.